This 472-nucleotide ribosomal RNA is filed under the name Streptococcus mitis. Its description in RNAcentral is "bacterial SSU rRNA". It matches the Rfam family "Bacterial small subunit ribosomal RNA", at positions 28 to 488 of the family's 1533-position model. Lineage: Bacteria; Bacillati; Bacillota; Bacilli; Lactobacillales; Streptococcaceae. The record is from RNAcentral.
GACGAACGCUGGCGGCGUGCUAAUACAUGCAAGUAGAACGCUGAAGGAGGAGCUUGCUUCUCCGGAUGAGUUGCGAACGGGUGAGUAACGCGUAGGUAACUGCCUGGUAGCGGGGGAUAACUAUUGGAAACGAUAGCUUAAUACCGCAUAAGAGUAGAUGUUGCAUGACAUUUGCUUAAAAGGUGCAAUUGCAUCACUACCAGAUGGACCUGCGUUGUAUUAGCUAGUUGGUGGGGUAACGGCUCACCAAGGCGACGAUACAUAGCCGACCUGAGAGGGUGAUCGGCCACACUGGGACUGAGACACGGCCCAGACUCCUACGGGAGGCAGCAGUAGGGAAUCUUCGGCAAUGGACGGAAGUCUGACCAAGCAACGCCGCGUGAGUGAAGAAGGUUUUCGGAUCGUAAAGCUCUGUUGUAAGAGAAGAACGAGUGAGAGUGGAAAGUUCACACUGUGACGGUAUCCACCAGAA